Molecule: ribosomal RNA, 478 nt
Filed under: uncultured anaerobic ammonium-oxidizing bacterium
Lineage: Bacteria
Description: bacterial SSU rRNA
Rfam family: Bacterial small subunit ribosomal RNA
Source: RNAcentral
UUCGCAAUGCCCGAAAGGGUGACGAAGCGACGCCGCGUGCGGGAAGAAGGCCUUCGGGUUGUAAACCGCUGUCGGGAGUUAGGAAAUGCAAGGAUGUUAAUAGCAUUCUUGCUUGACUAAGGCUCCGGAGGAAGCCACGGCUAACUCUGUGCCAGCAGCCGCGGUAAUACAGAGGCGGCAAGCGUUGUUCGGAAUUAUUGGGCGUAAAGAGCACGUAGGCGGCUGUGUAAGUCGGUUGUGAAAGCCUUCCGCUUAACGGAAGAACGGCAUCCGAUACUGCAUAGCUUGAGUGCGGGAGGGGAGAGUGGAACUUCUGGUGGAGCGGUGAAAUGCGUAGAUAUCAGAAGGAACGCCGGCGGCGAAAGCGACUCUCUGGUCCGAAACUGACGCUGAGUGUGCGAAAGCUAGGGGAGCAAACGGGAUUAGAUACCCCGGUAGUCCUAGCCGUAAACGAUGGGCACUAAGUAGAGGGGUUUUA